Molecule: long non-coding RNA, 712 nt
Filed under: Olea europaea subsp. europaea
Lineage: Eukaryota; Viridiplantae; Streptophyta; Magnoliopsida; Lamiales; Oleaceae
Source: RNAcentral
UCACGCAUAAUUUGAUCUAAUUCAUUCCUCUACAUUUUUCAAAAUGAAUUUACUACCAAGCACUAUUCAUGUUGGGCUAAAUCCGUUAUGAAGCAGGCCGACCCCAUAUUCACAGGUGAUUUACUUUUUAUCGGAUUCAAAUCGGGGACAAGGUUCAUCGUCGGGCGAUAUACUAAGAAGAAGAAACUUACAAGAAUUCUAAACUAAUAAACACAAACACGCCAUAAUAACAAAAAUGCAUAGAAACAAGAAAUAUGCACCUGAAUGGUAGGGGGCGAACGGCGGCAGAAUACGGAGGAGGCGGUGGUCAGAGCAUCGGAGGAGGAGGAUGGUAGGAGGUGUAAGGAAGGUAGAUGGAAGGCUCUUUUCCUACGGUUCUCCCUUGGAAAAAGAGUAGAUUUCAGAAUAGUAAACUAUAUUAUUAUUCUGAUUACAAAUUCCCAUAGGAAGAAAGAAUCAUUGCUUCUUCUUUUGCUUUUAUAACUCUCAUCUUUUGUUGCAGUUCUCUCUCUCUCUCUCUCUCUCUCUCUCUCUUAUGGCUUCACCUACGUUUUCGGACCCAUCAAUUCUUAAACACCCACCAUUUUUCAAUUAUUGUAUUCCUUAAUCCCAUCAAAAAACAUUAUUGAUUAACCCGACUAUUAGAUCAGAUCUAGAGAAUCCAUAUACCACGUGUUGCUGCUGUCAUGCAAAUGGGUUGUGUAUAUUUUAC